Molecule: ribosomal RNA, 253 nt
Filed under: uncultured bacterium
Lineage: Bacteria
Description: partial 16S ribosomal RNA
Rfam family: Bacterial small subunit ribosomal RNA
Source: RNAcentral
UACAGAGGGUGCAAGCGUUGUUCGGAAUUAUUGGGCGUAAAGGGCGCGUAGGCGGUGCCACAAGUCACCUGUGAAAUCUCCGGGCUUAACUCGGAGCCUGCAGGCGAAACUGUGGUGCUGGAGUGUGGGAGAGGUGCGUGGAAUUCCCGGUGUAGCGGUGAAAUGCGUUGAUAUCCUCAGGAACACCGGUGGCGAAAGCGGCUCACUGGAUCUCUUCUGACGCUGAGGCACGAAAGCUAGGGUAGCGAACGGG